GUGGAGAGGGAAGUGUAGUAACAGCACCAUCUGUUUGGGUGUUCGGUGCUCAGAAACGUCAGCGGCGUUCAGAAGCGUCUGCUGACUAGCGGCUCUGACCUCUCCGCGCCAAACGGCUCUCGCUCAGCUGUGUUCACUGUGAGAACGUGCUUCAGGAGUGUGUGAGGUGUGAGCUUCAGCUGAUCGAUUGCUCUCCGUCUCAAACGAGCACGUCGCUGUUCCUGGAAACUCCUGCUGAGAUGCUACGAGGAUGACCAAGACCAAACACAGUAGAAUGAGAUGCAACGCAGCAGGAUGAACUCAGAGCUGAAGAACACCUGAGUCUCGCUGAUAACAGCAC
Molecule: long non-coding RNA, 340 nt
Organism: Cyprinus carpio carpio
Lineage: Eukaryota; Metazoa; Chordata; Actinopteri; Cypriniformes; Cyprinidae
Source: Ensembl